UACGGGGGGAGCAAGCGUUGUUCGGAUUUACUGGGCGUAAAGGGCGCGUAGGCGGUCAGCACAAGUCAGUUGUGAAAUCUCCGAGCUUAACUCGGAAAGGUCAACUGAAACUGUGCGACUAGAGUGCGGAAGGGGCAACUGGAAUUCUUGGUGUAGCGGUGAAAUGCGUAGAUAUCUGGAGGAACACCGGUGGCGAAGGCGGCAUCCUGGACCGGGAUUGACACUGAGGCGCGAAAGCCAGGGGAGCAAACGGG
This 254-nucleotide ribosomal RNA is filed under the name uncultured bacterium. RNAcentral's name for it is "partial 16S ribosomal RNA". It matches the Rfam family "Bacterial small subunit ribosomal RNA", at positions 524 to 776 of the family's 1533-position model. The record is from RNAcentral.